AGAGUUUGAUCCUGGCUCAGAUUGAACGCUGGCGGAAUGCUUUACACAUGCAAGUCGAGCGGCAGCGCGGGGGCAACCCUGGCGGCGAGCGGCGAACGGGUGAGUAACAUAUCGGAACGUACCCUGUCGUGGGGGAUAACACAGCGAAAGCUGUGCUAAUACCGCAUACGACCUGAGGGUGAAAGCGGGGGAUCGCAAGACCUCGCGCGACAGGAGCGGCCGAUAUCGGAUUAGCUAGUUGGUGAGGUAAAGGCUCACCAAGGCGACGAUCCGUAGCGGGUCUGAGAGGACGACCCGCCACACUGGAACUGAGACACGGUCCAGACUCCUACGGGAGGCAGCAGAGGGGAAUUUUGGACAAUGGGGGCAACCCUGAUCCAGCCAUUCCGCGUGAGUGAAGAAGGCCUUCGGGUUGUAAAGCUCUUUCAGCAGGAACGAAACGGUGGUCCCUAAUACGGGCUACUAAUGACGGUACCUGAAGAAGAAGCACCGGCUAACUACGUGCCAGCAGCCGCGGUAAUACGUAGGGUGCGAGCGUUAAUCGGAAUUACUGGGCGUAAAGCGUGCGCAGGCGGUUCCAUAAGACAGAUGUGAAAUCCCCGGGCUUAACCUGGGAACUGCGUUUGUGACUGUGGGACUCGAGUGCGGCAGAGGGGGGUGGAAUUCCACGUGUAGCAGUGAAAUGCGUAGAGAUGUGGAGGAACACCGAUGGCGAAGGCAGCCCCCUGGGUCAACACUGACGCUCAUGCACGAAAGCGUGGGGAGCAAACAGGAUUAGAUACCCUGGUAGUCC
RNAcentral lists this ribosomal RNA (793 nucleotides) under uncultured bacterium. RNAcentral describes it as "bacterial SSU rRNA". It matches the Rfam family "Bacterial small subunit ribosomal RNA", at positions 8 to 796 of the family's 1533-position model. The record is from RNAcentral.